AUUGAACGCUGGCGGUAUGCUUAACACAUGCAAGUCGAACGGUAACAGGCCUUCGGGCGCUGACGAGUGGCGGACGGUGAGUAACGCGUAGGAAUCUGCCUCAUAGUGGGGACAACGUGGGGAAACUCACGCUAAUACCGCAUACGCCCUACGGGGAAAGCGGGGAUCUUCGGACCUCGCGCUAUGAGAUGAGCCUGCGUUAGAUUAGCUAGUUGGUAGGGUAAAGGCCUACCAAGGCGACGAUCUAUAGCUGGUCUGAGAGGACGAUCAGCCACACUGGGACUGAGACACGGCCCAGACUCCUACGGGAGGCAGCAGUGGGGAAUAUUGGACAAUGGGCGCAAGCCUGAUCCAGCAAUACCGCGUGUGUGAAGAAGGCCUUAGGGUUGUAAAGCACUUUCAAUUGGGAGGAAAACCUGCCGGUCAAUACCCGGUAGCUUGACAUUACCUUUAGAAGAAGCACCGGCUAAACUCCGUGCCAGCAGCCGCGGUAA
RNAcentral lists this ribosomal RNA (494 nucleotides) under uncultured bacterium. Its description in RNAcentral is "bacterial SSU rRNA". It matches the Rfam family "Bacterial small subunit ribosomal RNA", at positions 30 to 523 of the family's 1533-position model. The record is from RNAcentral.